GUCAUUUAGAUUUUCCUUGCUCUCAAAUUGGGUUUGGUGCUGCUGUAGUUUCCUGUCGUUGGCGUUAUGCAAAAUAUUCAGGCCAUGUAGGCUUUAAUAUAUUGCUCCUCCCCGUGGUCUCACCUGGGAAGAAAUUAUAUGCUUCUAACUGCCUCUUGACAGGUGAAUCACUUUUUCACUCCAGAUCAAAAAUAAGACUAUUUUUGUAUUCUACUGCCACCAUAGAUAGCAUAUGAUUUCUUGCUAAACGCCUAAAAUAGGGAUUUUUAAGUUUCAUCUUCAUAAUAAUAUGUACAACUAUUAAUGAUUAAACACGUUUAGAAUCUGUUAGCCCGGGGAAGGUGCCGCCAUAUUUCAUUUGAGAUAUUGUCAACUACCAAGGAGAUCUUCGACGCAAACUUUCAGUUGAAUUUGUGUUGGCAAGUUUCCUCUAGAUUUGUCAUUCAGUUUCCGAUUUUGCUACAGGUGCCCUGUCAAAGCCAGCAGUCUCCAGUUGCUUCAUGUGGCUAGUCAACUUAAAGAAGCCUAACAAGAUGCAGCUUUACGACAUGUGCAAAGUUUCUGAAUGCUCUCAUUUCUGAACUGGUGAAGAGGAGAUAUAUUUUAUGAUUUACACUGUGAUAAUUGACAGCAAAUAUCCUCUGCUGCUGUUUAUGGAUGAAUACUAUGCUAUUCUAUCUAGUUGAUUCUUUUCCUGUUGGCUUUGAUAAUAAACCAAUUACUAUGUA
This is a long non-coding RNA of Frankliniella occidentalis (western flower thrips), 728 nucleotides long. RefSeq lists it as uncharacterized. The transcript is spliced from 3 exons. NCBI's taxonomy places the organism in Eukaryota, Metazoa, Arthropoda, Insecta, Thysanoptera, Thripidae. The record is from RefSeq and is a predicted model, not a curated record.